AGAUCAAAUUGUUGGUCGUGCCUUGGUACGUACUGGCAUUAUUGGUUUCUCCCUUCUGAAGAACCAUGAUGUCAUUAAUUUGGUGUCAUGGGGAAUCAGGACUGUUACUUUGAAAAAAUUAGAGUGUUUAAAGCAGGCUCGCGCUUGAAUACAUUAGCAUGGAAUAAUGAAAUAGGACGUUUAAUUCUAUUUUGUUGGUUUCUAGGAUUGACGUAAUGAUUAAUAGGGAUAGUUGGG
RNAcentral lists this ribosomal RNA (237 nucleotides) under Glomus sp. Its description in RNAcentral is "partial small subunit ribosomal RNA". The stretch from base 46 to 237 matches the Rfam family "Eukaryotic small subunit ribosomal RNA", at positions 693 to 886 of the family's 1831-position model. The record is from RNAcentral. Lineage: Eukaryota; Fungi; Glomeromycota; Glomeromycetes; Glomerales; Glomeraceae.